UACGUAGGGUGCAAGCGUUGUCCGGAAUUAUUGGGCGUAAAGAGCUCGUAGGCGGUCUGUCGCGUCGAAUGUGAAAACCCGGGGCUCAACCCCGGGCCUGCAUUCGAUACGGGCAGACUAGAGUUCGGUAGGGGAGUCUGGAAUUUCUGGUGUAGCGGUGAAAUGCGCAGAUAUCAGGAGGAACACCGGUGGCGAAGGCGGGACUCUGGGCCGAUACUGACGCUGAGGAGCGAAAGCGUGGGGAGCGAACAGG
RNAcentral lists this ribosomal RNA (253 nucleotides) under uncultured bacterium. Its description in RNAcentral is "partial 16S ribosomal RNA". It matches the Rfam family "Bacterial small subunit ribosomal RNA", at positions 524 to 776 of the family's 1533-position model. The record is from RNAcentral.